CCCAGACUCCUACGGGAGGCAGCAGUGGGGAAUAUUGGGCAAUGGGCGCAAGCCUGACCCAGCAACGCCGCGUGAAGGAAGAAGGCUUUCGGGUUGUAAACUUCUUUUCUCAGGGACGAAGAAAGUGACGGUACCUGAGGAAUAAGCCACGGCUAACUACGUGCCAGCAGCCGCGGUAAUACGUAGGUGGCAAGCGUUAUCCGGAUUUACUGGGUGUAAAGGGCGUGUAGGCGGGAAAGCAAGUCAGAUGUGAAAACCACGGGCUCAACCUGUGGCCUGCAUUUGAAACUGUUUUUCUUGAGUACUGGAAAGGCAGACGGAAUUCCUAGUGUAGCGGUGAAAUGCGUAGAUAUUAGGAGGAACACCAGUGGCGAAGGCGGUCCGCUGGACAGCAACUGACGCUGGGGCGCGAAAGCGUGGGGAGCAAACAGGAUUAGAUACCCGCGUAUC
Molecule: ribosomal RNA, 450 nt
Filed under: uncultured bacterium
Lineage: Bacteria
Description: bacterial SSU rRNA
Rfam family: Bacterial small subunit ribosomal RNA
Source: RNAcentral